RNAcentral lists this long non-coding RNA (622 nucleotides) under Triticum aestivum (bread wheat). RNAcentral describes it as "long non-coding RNA (TAES_LNC003303)". Lineage: Eukaryota; Viridiplantae; Streptophyta; Magnoliopsida; Poales; Poaceae. The record is from RNAcentral.
CACGCCUCAGCUGCUCUUCCUCUUAAAACUGAUGCUGCUCCCUCUCCCAUCGCCAACCUACUGCUGCUCCUUCUUCUUCCCAAACCUUGCUGCUGUUGCUCUUUCCCCACGCCUCUGCUACUCCUCACCCACCAACCUACUGCUACUUCUUCUCCCUCAACCUCUUGCUGCUGCCAUCUCCCUCUCUCUAAAUUUCUGUAGAUUUGAGAUCGAAUGUAAUAUUCAGAUUUGUCUAGUGCUAUGAUAUGUUUAGUUUCAGACUCAAGCUUGUGUGGUUUUAAAUUGUUGAUCGGAAAACUGAAUUGUGGCAUAUGACCCUCUGUUCUUAUGUGUGGUAAUUAGUUAAACCCGUCACUUGUGUGUUGUACUUCUUGAAUAAAGGAGUUCAUCUUGUAGUACCUGUGGUAGCUUUGUACCUGUGAUAUAAAUAUAUAUUUGUAUGGUGAUAUAUUUUUGUCCCUGUCACAUUAUUGUUUCUUCCCUCUGUUAUAUUGUAUGUUAGUUAUAUAUGUUUGUGUGGUGAUAUCAAGUACCUGUGAUGUAUACAUAUGUGAGUGUGAUUGUGAUGUGAAAUUUCUUUCCUUAUUCCGUAAUCUUACUUUUGCCCCUUUUACAUACUUUC